GACGAACGCUGGCGGCGUGCUUAACACAUGCAAGUCGAACGGAAAGGCCUUGCUUUUGUGGGGUGCUCGAGUGGCGAACGGGUGAGUAACACGUGAGUAACCUGCCCUUGACUUUGGGAUAAUUUCAGGAAACUGGGGCUAAUACCGGAUAGGAGCUCCUGCUGCCUGGUGGGGGCUGGAAAGUUUCGGCGGUUGGGGAUGGACUCGCGGCUUAUCAGCUUGUUGGUGGGGUAGUGGCUUACCAAGGCUUUGACGGGUAGCCGGCCUGAGCGGGUGACCGGCCACAUUGGGACUGAGAAGCGACGCAGACUCCUACGGGAGGCAGCAGUGGGGAAUAAUGCACAAUGGGCGGAGGCCUGAUGCAGCAGCGCCGCGGGCGGGAUGACGGCCGUCGGGGUGUAAACCGCUUUCGCCUGUGACGAAGCGUGAGUGGCGGUAAUGGGUAAAGAAGCACCGGCUAACUACGUG
Molecule: ribosomal RNA, 468 nt
Filed under: uncultured bacterium
Lineage: Bacteria
Description: partial 16S ribosomal RNA
Rfam family: Bacterial small subunit ribosomal RNA
Source: RNAcentral